Molecule: ribosomal RNA, 842 nt
Filed under: Pseudomonas sp. ECX
Lineage: Bacteria; Pseudomonadati; Pseudomonadota; Gammaproteobacteria; Pseudomonadales; Pseudomonadaceae
Description: bacterial SSU rRNA
Rfam family: Bacterial small subunit ribosomal RNA
Source: RNAcentral
CUACCAUGCAAGUCGAGCGGUAGAGAGAAGCUUGCUUCUCUUGAGAGCGGCGGACGGGUGAGUAAUGCCUAGGAAUCUGCCUGGUAGUGGGGGAUAACGUUCGGAAACGGACGCUAAUACCGCAUACGUCCUACGGGAGAAAGCAGGGGACCUUCGGGCCUUGCGCUAUCAGAUGAGCCUAGGUCGGAUUAGCUAGUUGGUGGGGUAAUGGCUCACCAAGGCGACGAUCCGUAACUGGUCUGAGAGGAUGAUCAGUCACACUGGAACUGAGACACGGUCCAGACUCCUACGGGAGGCAGCAGUGGGGAAUAUUGGACAAUGGGCGAAAGCCUGAUCCAGCCAUGCCGCGUGUGUGAAGAAGGUCUUCGGAUUGUAAAGCACUUUAAGUUGGGAGGAAGGGUUGUAGAUUAAUACUCUGCAAUUUUGACGUUACCGACAGAAUAAGCACCGGCUAACUCUGUGCCAGCAGCCGCGGUAAUACAGAGGGUGCAAGCGUUAAUCGGAAUUACUGGGCGUAAAGCGCGCGUAGGUGGUUUGUUAAGUUGGAUGUGAAAUCCCCGGGCUCAACCUGGGAACUGCAUUCAAAACUGACUGACUAGAGUAUGGUAGAGGGUGGUGGAAUUUCCUGUGUAGCGGUGAAAUGCGUAGAUAUAGGAAGGAACACCAGUGGCGAAGGCGACCACCUGGACUAAUACUGACACUGAGGUGCGAAAGCGUGGGGAGCAAACAGGAUUAGAUACCCUGGUAGUCCACGCCGUAAACGAUGUCAACUAGCCNUUGGAAGCCUUGAGCUUUUAGUGGCGCAGCUAACGCAUUAAGUUGACCGCCUGGGGAGUACGGCC